This 1523-nucleotide ribosomal RNA is filed under the name Streptococcus salivarius. RNAcentral describes it as "bacterial SSU rRNA". It matches the Rfam family "Bacterial small subunit ribosomal RNA". Lineage: Bacteria; Bacillati; Bacillota; Bacilli; Lactobacillales; Streptococcaceae. The record is from RNAcentral.
GACGAACGCUGGCGGCGUGCCUAAUACAUGCAAGUAGAACGCUGAAGAGAGGAGCUUGCUCUUCUUGGAUGAGUUGCGAACGGGUGAGUAACGCGUAGGUAACCUGCCUUGUAGCGGGGGAUAACUAUUGGAAACGAUAGCUAAUACCGCAUAACAAUGGAUGACACAUGUCAUUUAUUUGAAAGGGGCAAUUGCUCCACUACAAGAUGGACCUGCGUUGUAUUAGCUAGUAGGUGAGGUAACGGCUCACCUAGGCGACGAUACAUAGCCGACCUGAGAGGGUGAUCGGCCACACUGGGACUGAGACACGGCCCAGACUCCUACGGGAGGCAGCAGUAGGGAAUCUUCGGCAAUGGGGGCAACCCUGACCGAGCAACGCCGCGUGAGUGAAGAAGGUUUUCGGAUCGUAAAGCUCUGUUGUAAGUCAAGAACGAGUGUGAGAGUGGAAAGUUCACACUGUGACGGUAGCUUACCAGAAAGGGACGGCUAACUACGUGCCAGCAGCCGCGGUAAUACGUAGGUCCCGAGCGUUGUCCGGAUUUAUUGGGCGUAAAGCGAGCGCAGGCGGUUUGAUAAGUCUGAAGUUAAAGGCUGUGGCUCAACCAUAGUUCGCUUUGGAAACUGUCAAACUUGAGUGCAGAAGGGGAGAGUGGAAUUCCAUGUGUAGCGGUGAAAUGCGUAGAUAUAUGGAGGAACACCGGUGGCGAAAGCGGCUCUCUGGUCUGUAACUGACGCUGAGGCUCGAAAGCGUGGGGAGCGAACAGGAUUAGAUACCCUGGUAGUCCACGCCGUAAACGAUGAGUGCUAGGUGUUGGAUCCUUUCCGGGAUUCAGUGCCGCAGCUAACGCAUUAAGCACUCCGCCUGGGGAGUACGACCGCAAGGUUGAAACUCAAAGGAAUUGACGGGGGCCCGCACAAGCGGUGGAGCAUGUGGUUUAAUUCGAAGCAACGCGAAGAACCUUACCAGGUCUUGACAUCCCGAUGCUAUUUCUAGAGAUAGAAAGUUACUUCGGUACAUCGGUGACAGGUGGUGCAUGGUUGUCGUCAGCUCGUGUCGUGAGAUGUUGGGUUAAGUCCCGCAACGAGCGCAACCCCUAUUGUUAGUUGCCAUCAUUCAGUUGGGCACUCUAGCGAGACUGCCGGUAAUAAACCGGAGGAAGGUGGGGAUGACGUCAAAUCAUCAUGCCCCUUAUGACCUGGGCUACACACGUGCUACAAUGGUUGGUACAACGAGUUGCGAGUCGGUGACGGCAAGCUAAUCUCUUAAAGCCAAUCUCAGUUCGGAUUGUAGGCUGCAACUCGCCUACAUGAAGUCGGAAUCGCUAGUAAUCGCGGAUCAGCACGCCGCGGUGAAUACGUUCCCGGGCCUUGUACACACCGCCCGUCACACCACGAGAGUUUGUAACACCCGAAGUCGGUGAGGUAACCUUUUGGAGCCAGCCGCCUAAGGUGGGAUAGAUGAUUGGGGUGAAGUCGUAACAAGGUAGCCGUAUCGGAAGGUGCGGCUGGAUCACCUCCUUUCU